UUAGUUAAAACCAAAUAGAGGUGAAUUAUUGUUAAUAAUUUUAGUGAUAUAAAUAUCUAACUAAU
Molecule: transfer RNA, 65 nt
Filed under: Podagrion sp. JY-2018
Lineage: Eukaryota; Metazoa; Arthropoda; Insecta; Hymenoptera; Torymidae
Description: tRNA-Asn
Source: RNAcentral